This 497-nucleotide ribosomal RNA is filed under the name uncultured bacterium. RNAcentral's name for it is "partial 16S ribosomal RNA". It matches the Rfam family "Bacterial small subunit ribosomal RNA", at positions 28 to 507 of the family's 1533-position model. The record is from RNAcentral.
GAUGAACGCUGGCGGCGUGCCUAAUACAUGCCAGUCGAGCGAACGGACGAGAAGCUUGCUUCUCUGAUGUUAGCGGCGGACGGGUGAGUAACACGUGGAUAACCUACCUAUAAGACUGGGAUAACUUCGGGAAACCGGAGCUAAUACCGGAUAAUAUUUUGAACCGCAUGGUUCAAAAGUGAAAGACGGUCUUGCUGUCACUUAUAGAUGGAUCCGCGCUGCAUUAGCUAGUUGGUAAGGUAACGGCUUACCAAGGCAACGAUGCAUAGCCGACCUGAGAGGGUGAUCGGCCACACUGGAACUGAGACACGGUCCAGACUCCUACGGGAGGCAGCAGUAGGGAAUAUUCCGCAAUGGGCGAAAGCCUGACGGAGCAACGCCGCGUGAGUGAUGAAGGUCUUCGGAUCGUAAAACUCUGUUAUUAGGGAAGAACAUAUGUGUAAGUAACUGUGCACAUCUUGACGGUACCUAAUCAGAAAGCCACGGCUAACUACGUG